UACGUAGGGGGCAAGCGUUGUCCGGAAUCAUUGGGCGUAAAGGGUGCGUAGGUGGCAUGGUAAGUCGGAUGUGAAAUCCCGGGGCUCAACCCCGGAACUGCAUUCGAUACUGCUGCGCUAGAGUACUGGAGAGGAGAUUGGAAUUUACGGUGUAGCAGUGAAAUGCGUAGAUAUCGUAAGGAAGACCAGUGGCGAAGGCGGAUCUCUGGACAGUUACUGACACUGAGGCACGAAGGCCAGGGGAGCAAACGGG
RNAcentral lists this ribosomal RNA (253 nucleotides) under uncultured bacterium. Its description in RNAcentral is "partial 16S ribosomal RNA". It matches the Rfam family "Bacterial small subunit ribosomal RNA", at positions 524 to 776 of the family's 1533-position model. The record is from RNAcentral.